This 144-nucleotide unclassified non-coding RNA is filed under the name uncultured Helotiales. RNAcentral's name for it is "sequence contains ITS2". The record is from RNAcentral. Lineage: Eukaryota; Fungi; Ascomycota; Leotiomycetes; Helotiales.
CAUCCCUCAAGCUUUGCUUGGUAUUGGGUGUCACCUAGCAUGGUGUACCUAAAAUUCAGUGGCAGUACCACCGGCCUCAAGUGUAGUAAUAUUCUCACUUUCGGGUUUGGUGUUAUGCUUGCCAGCAAGCCCUAAUUUAUCAAA